UAUAUUCCAGCCUACUCUUACAAGUGUCAGUGAAGAAACAUUGGUGGCAAAUUCUUCUGUCAAGAAACUAUUAUGUUAGAAGGCUGCAACAAGGAUGGAGCAGGGAAAAGACAAGGAGGUGAAAGUGAUCAGGGGUAUUAGUCAUGCAGGCGUCUGCUUUGUCUGAGAUUCUGUAGGACUGUUACUCAAAUGAAUCAGCCAGAAAAGGAUGACUGGUGUGGUGACUGCGGACAAGCAUGAGGUAGUUUGACUGAAAGGUACUUUCUCCCCCUCUUCUUUUCAAGAAACACUCAAAGGACUGGAACAGUACGCCUCUUUUUAUGGAAGGUCUUCUUCUCCCACCAGUAAUCUUCUUCCUCCAAAUAUCCCACCAGUGCAAGCCCAGUCCUCUUGCUGCAGCAUCCAGCAAGAAUUCUCUUCAAAGGAUGAGAAGAAAUUUCCCUCAACACUUUUUGUUCUUAAUGUCUCCCUUCACAUUAAUAUGUCUGUAGCAGACUGUACAAAUCAGUAUCACUGGUAACAGUUCCUAUGGCUUGCUCUGCUCCACUACAUUCUAACUGGUGCUCAAAAUGAGUUGUCUUUCUAGUUAAGCCUUAUCUCUGUUAAUAAGAUGGAAUUUAUUAAGUUCAAAAAACUCCCCACCCUUGAUGAUUGUAGCUACUUAAAUUGUUUUGUUCCUGCAUUAGUGAUAUCUGAUAGUCGUAAUUUUAAUGUGUAGAUAAAAAAGAAUCCAACAAAGUGGUUUUAACUGUCACUGCCAUUAUUUCUUAGUUGUAUUUAGAAAACAAGAUGCAUGCCUCCCUCAUGAUUCUGGUUUUAGUGCUUAAUACAUUUUUUAGGAAAUGAAGACAGCUUACUGUAGCUAAAUAAGAUAUUUUGUAGGCUGGUGUUUAGUUCUUUGACUGAGCCUUUCUCUGUACUAAAACAACACUGAAAUGUAAGUAUUGGGUUGAAGCUGCUGAGAACUGGAGUUUGUCAAAUCUAUUACUAUUUGCAGUUGCAUAAGUUCAGAGGAGCUGUGUUUGCUUACCUAUAAAAUUCUUCAUCUCUCCUUUUUUAGCAAGGCUAUUUAAAGAUCUGUAGCAUGACAAAAUCUCCCUUCCCAAUAACAAUAAAUAUUCAGUAAGGAG
Molecule: long non-coding RNA, 1130 nt
Organism: Corvus hawaiiensis (hawaiian crow)
Lineage: Eukaryota; Metazoa; Chordata; Aves; Passeriformes; Corvidae
Exons: 3
Source: RefSeq, a predicted model, not a curated record